GGGUUGUGAGGUUAAGCGACCAAGCGUACACGGUGGAUGCCCUGGCAGUCAGAGGCGAUGAAGGACGUGCUAAUCUGCGAAAAGCGCCGGUAAGGUGAUAUGAACCGUUAUAACCGGCGAUGUCCGAAUGGGGAAACCCAGUGUGACUCGUCACACUAUCAUUAACUGAAUCCAUAGGUUAAUGAGGCGAACCGGGGGAACUGAAACAUCUAAGUACCCCGAGGAAAAGAAAUCAACCGAGAUUCCCCCAGUAGCGGCGAGCGAACGGGGAGCAGCCCAGAGCCUGAAUCAGCAUAUGUGUUAGUGGAAGCGUCUGGAAAGGCGCGCGAUACAGGGUGACAGCCCCGUACACAAAAGCGCAUAUGCUGUGAGCUCGAUGAGUAGGGCGGGACACGUGGUAUCCUGUCUGAAUAUGGGGGGACCAUCCUCCAAGGCUAAAUACUCCUGACUGACCGAUAGUGAACCAGUACCGUGAGGGAAAGGCGAAAAGAACCCCGGCGAGGGGAGUGAAACAGAACCUGAAACCGUGUACGUACAAGCAGUGGGAGCCCCACCACCAAAGCGUUUCGCUUUGCGUGGUGCGCAAAAUGCGUAACGACAGCACGAUUGCGGUUAACGGAGCGUAAGCGACGUUCAACACAAGAAUCAGGCAGUGGAGCGUUUUGGGGUGGGGUGACUGCGUACCUUUUGUAUAAUGGGUCAGCGACUUAUAUUCUGUAGCAAGGUUAACCGUAUAGGGGAGCCGGAGGGAAACCGAGUCUUAACCGGGCGUUAAGUUGCAGGGUAUAGACCCGAAACCCGGUGAUCUAGCCAUGGGCAGGUUGAAGGUUGGGUAACACUAACUGGAGGACCGAACCGACUAAUGUUGAAAAAUUAGCGGAUGACCUGUGGCUGGGGGUGAAAGGCCAAUCAAACCGGGAGAUAGCUGGUUCUCCCCGAAAGCUAUUUAGGUAGCGCCUCGUGAAUUCAUCUCCGGGGGUAGAGCACUGUUUCGGCCAGGGGGCCAUCCCGGCUUACCAACCCGAUGCAAACUGCGAAUACCGGAGAAUGUUAUCACGGGAGACACACGGCGGGUGCUAACGUCCGUCGUGAAGAGGGAAACAACCCAGACCGCCAGCUAAGGUCCCAAAGUCAUGGUUAAGUGGGAAACGAUGUGGGAAGGCCCAGACAGCCAGGAUGUUGGCUUAGAAGCAGCCAUCAUUUAAAGAAAGCGUAAUAGCUCACUGGUCGAGUCGGCCUGCGCGGAAGAUGUAACGGGGCUAAACCAUGCACCGAAGCUGCGGCAGCGACACUGUGUGUUGUUGGGUAGGGGAGCGUUCUGUAAGCCUGCGAAGGUGUGCUGUGAGGCAUGCUGGAGGUAUCAGAAGUGCGAAUGCUGACAUAAGUAACGAUAAUGCGGGUGAAAAACCCGCACGCCGGAAGACCAAGGGUUCCUGUCCAACGUUAAUCGGGGCAGGGUGAGUCGACCCCUAAGGCGAGGCCGAAAGGCGUAGUCGAUGGGAAACAGGUUAAUAUUCCUGUACCUGGUGUUACUGCGAAGGGGGGACGGAGAAGGCUAUGUUGGCCGGGCGACGGUUGUCCCGGUUUAAGCGUGUAGGCUGGUUUUCCAGGCAAAUCCGGAAAAUCAAGGCUGAGGCGUGACGACGAGGCACUACGGUGCUGAAGCAACAAAUGCCCUGCUUCCAGGAAAAGCCUCUAAGCCUCAGGUAACAUCAGAUCGUACCCGAAACCGACACAGGUGGUCAGGUAGAGAAUACCAAGGCGCUUGAGAGAACCCGGGUGAAGGAACUAGGCAAAAUGGUGCCGUAACUUCGGGAGAAGGCACGCUGACACGUAGGUGAAGCGGUUUACCCGUGGAGCUGAAGUCAGUCGAAGAUACCAGCUGGCUGCAACUGUUUAUUAAAAACACAGCACUGUGCAAACACGAAAGUGGACGUAUACGGUGUGACGCCUGCCCGGUGCCGGAAGGUUAAUUGAUGGGGUCAGCGCAAGCGAAGCUCCUGAUCGAAGCCCCGGUAAACGGCGGCCGUAACUAUAACGGUCCUAAGGUAGCGAAAUUCCUUGUCGGGUAAGUUCCGACCUGCACGAAUGGCGUAAUGAUGGCCAGGCUGUCUCCACCCGGGACUCAGUGAAAUUGAACUCGCUGUGAAGAUGCAGUGUACCCGCGGCAAGACGGAAAGACCCCGUGAACCUUUACUAUAGCUUGACACUGAACACUGGUCCUUGAUGUGCAGGAUAGGUGGGAGGCUUUGAAGUGUGGACGCCAGUCUGCAUGGAGCCGUCCUUGAAAUACCACCCUUUAAUGGCUGGUGUUCUAACGUAGACCCGUGAACCGGGUUGCGGACAGUGUCUGGUGGGUAGUUUGACUGGGGCGGUCUCCUCCUAAAGCGUAACGGAGGAGCACGAAGGUUGGCUAAUCCUGGUCGGACAUCAGGAGGUUAGUGCAAUGGCAUAAGCCAGCUUGACUGCGAGCGUGACGGCGCGAGCAGGUGCGAAAGCAGGUCAUAGUGAUCCGGUGGUUCUGAAUGGAAGGGCCAUCGCUCAACGGAUAAAAGGUACUCCGGGGAUAACAGGCUGAUACCGCCCAAGAGUUCAUAUCGACGGCGGUGUUUGGCACCUCGAUGUCGGCUCAUCACAUCCUGGGGCUGAAGUAGGUCCCAAGGGUAUGGCUGUUCGCCAUUUAAAGUGGUACGCGAGCUGGGUUUAGAACGUCGUGAGACAGUUCGGUCCCUAUCUGCCGUGGGCGCUGGAGAACUGAGGGGGGCUGCUCCUAGUACGAGAGGACCGGAGUGGACGCAUCACUGGUGUUCGGGUUGUCAUGCCAAUGGCACUGCCCGGUAGCUAAAUGCGGAAGAGAUAAGUGCUGAAAGCAUCUAAGCACGAAACUUGCCCCGAGAUGAGUUCUCCCUGAGACUACAAGUCUCCUGAAGGAACGUUGAAGACGACGACGUUGAUAGGCCGGGUGUGUAAGCGCAGCGAUGCGUUGAGCUAACCGGUACUAAUGAACCGUGAGGCUUAACCUUACAACGCCGAAG
RNAcentral lists this ribosomal RNA (3035 nucleotides) under Salmonella enterica subsp. arizonae serovar 63:g,z51:- str. So 20/20. RNAcentral's name for it is "bacterial LSU rRNA". It matches the Rfam family "Bacterial large subunit ribosomal RNA". Lineage: Bacteria; Pseudomonadati; Pseudomonadota; Gammaproteobacteria; Enterobacterales; Enterobacteriaceae. The record is from RNAcentral.